AGUAUACAAGUGUGCUGUGAGUCCCACAGGAGACAGGCUGUACAUCAUCAGCUACUGGCAGGACAAGCUUCUCACCCUGGCCAGGGAUGGCACACUCCUGGCUACAUUGACAGUCCCAGCACUAGGUAGCCCACGUGGUCUACAUGUGACCCCUGCAGGCCAGGUGCUGCUGGUCUGUGAAUGGGGGUCCCACACUGUACUACAGGUGGGCUGGGAGGGAGAGAGUAAGCUGACUACUCUUGCUACUCAGGAGGAUGGAGUGUGGUUCCCACGGUCAGUCUGCUACAGCAGCACCACAUCAUCCAUCAUUGUGGGACUGUGGAGGGACGACAACAUCCUGGUGUUCAGAGUGGAAUAGUGUGUACAUUUGCUGCUGGGUCGGGACAACGAUGCUGAGGAUGUGGGGGACAAGCAUGACGCAGAAGGUGAGCACCAGCAUUGAUAUCCAGUUGGCCAAGCAACAGCACCAGUCCGGCCUGCAGGAGCCCCAAUACUAAAUGAUCCUUUGCCUUCCCUGAUCCCUAGCUCCUCCCACUGGACCUCCGGCCACAAAGGGUCAGCAUCAUAACACAAGUCUGUUCUGCAAUAAAUCCUCAGCACGUCAAGUUUUCACGCGCUGUUAUGAACAGCUGAAAUGUCUGUGUUGAGAUUUCCCCAAGCAAGCCCGAGUAGUUUUGUUUAGCUCUAGUGCCCGAGUGGGAUGAGUGUUACAGAAGCGAGACGUUAUAGCAGCACUUAUGGUAACGCUAACAGUUAACGCUAACAGUUAGUUCUCACUGUGGACAUCACGAAGAAUCUCACGAAGGAUUAAACAUUGAAUAGUUUGUUUAAUUCUUUAUAAGACAGCUAUAUAUUCAGCGAGGAACGGGAGCAAAUCAAGGAACAAUCGAAACGAUUCAUUCAGAAGUAUAUCUGCUGUAGAUAGUUAUGACAGUAGAAGCGUUACGGACUAUCCUCAGCGCACAAUAUAUUCAUGUGGUGUGCCUAAGACGCGAAUUCCCCACAUUAUUGAAAACAAGUUGCUAAAAAAUUCAACACGUACGGUUUUGCACUCCGAGGCCAAAGAGCAUCGCAUUGAAUUGAGACUAAAGAAGGCUUAAAAAUGUGACAACAGUUUUGUUGUAUGGUACAGUACGCCCUUCGACUCAACCCGAAGUUAAUCAGAACUCAAACUCAGCCCUUAACAAUAUCCGCGAGGCCAGCAUAUCAGCUCAGCUUCUGAGCUUCAGGACAGCACCACCAUUGAUAUCGAUUUUGCCCAGCAACAGCACAAGUCCGGCCUGCAGGAGCCCCAGUCCAGGACGACCCAUCCACUUCCCUGACCCAUAGCUCAUCAUACUUGAUAUCCGGAAAGAUGGGGCCUAAUGCAUGCGCUUAAAUUGUUGUCACAGAUAAGCCUGUGCAGUCCACACAGGCUAAUAAUGGACAACACUUUCCUCUUAAAGCAGAGCACCAGCAUUGAUAUCGAGUUGGCCCAGCAACCGCACCAGUCCCGCCUGCAGGAGCCCUAGUCCAGAAUGACACUUCCCCUCCCUUGACUUCUAACUCCUUCUCCUUGACCUCCUACCUCAAAAAGUCAGCAUCGUUGAACAGCUCUGUUCUUCAGGAAAUUCUGAGCAUGAUUCUGUUCUGACAAACGCAAUGUCCACGUCACGUUUUCCAAACAUAAGCCUGGGUAGUUUUGUUAAGCUAGAGUUCCGCGUGGGCCUGAUAGGAUGAGUGUUACAGACACGAAAAGUUAUAGCAGUAGUUAUGGUAACGCUAACAGUCAGUUGUUGCUGUUGGACAUAACAACAAAUAUCAUGAAGAAUAAAACGUUCAAUAACUUGUUCCAAUUUUUAUGGGACAAACAGAAAUUGAACAGGAGAAAAUCAAGGAAUAAUUGUUGUGAACACCCAGAGCACGAUACAUCCGUGGUGACACAGAUAGGCAGUAAUGACUUGGUUGUGAACUCCCAGAGCAAAAUACAUCCAUGCUGACACAGAAAGGAAGUAAUGACUUGGUUGUGAAUACCCAGAGCAUGCUACAUCCAUGCUGACACAGAAAGGAAGUAAUGACUAUGCAGUGAACACCCAGAGCACAAUACAUCCAUGCUGGCACAGAAAGGCAGUAAUGACUUGGCUUUAAACACACAGAGCACAAUACAUCCAUGCUGACACAGAUGGGCAGUAAUGACUAUGCUGUGAACACCCAGAGCACAAUACAUCCAUGCUGAAACAGAAAGGCAGUCAUGACUAUGCAGUGAACACCCAGAGCAAGAUAUAUCCAUGCUGACACAGAAAGGAAGUAAUGACUAUGAUGUGAACACCCAGAGCAAGAUUUAUCCAUGCUGAUACAGAAAGGCAGUAAUGACUAUGCUGUGAACACCCAGAGCACAAUACAUCUAUGCUGACACAGAAAGGCAGUAAUGACUUGGUUUGGAACACCCAGAGCACAAUAAAUCCAUGCUGACACAGAAAGGCAGUAAUGACUUGGCUGUGAACACAGAACACGAUACACCCAUGCUGACACAGAAAGGAAGUAAUGACUCGGCUGUGAACACAUAGCACAAUAUAUCCAUGCUAAAACAGAAAGGCAGUCAUGACUAUGCUUUGAACACCAAGAGCACGACGUAUCCAUGCUGACACAGAAAGGCAGUAAUGACUUGGCUGUGAACACCCAGAGCAAGAUAUAUUCAGGCUGACACAGAAAGGCAGUAAUGGCUAUGCUGUGAACACCCAGAGAAAGAUAUAUCCAUGCUGACACAGAAAGGCAGUAAUGGCUAUACUUUGAACACCCAGAGCAAGAUAUAUCCAUGAUGACACAGAAAGGCAGUACUGACUAUGCUGUGAACACCCAGAGCUCAAAACAUUGAUGCUGACACAGAAAGGCAGAAGGAAGUAAUGACUCGGCUGUGAACACAUAGCACAAUAUAUCCAUGCUAAAACAGAAAGGCAGUCAUGACUAUGCUUUGAACACCAAGAGCACGACGUAUCCAUGCUGACACAGAAAGGCAGUAAUGACUUGGUUGUGAACACCCAGAGCAAGAUAUAUCCAUUCUGACACAGAAAGGCAGUAAUGACUUGGUUGUGAACACCCAGAGCAAGAUAUAUCCAUGCUGACACAGAAAGGCAGUAAUGACUUGGUUGUGAACACCCAGAGAAAGAUAUAUCCAUGCUGACACAGAAAGGCAGUAAAGACUUGGUUGUAAACACCCAGAGCACAAUACAUCCAUGCUGACACAGAAAGGCAGUUAAGACUUUGUUGUAAACACUAAGAUAUCCAUACAUCCAUGGGGUUUGCCACAGACGCAAAUUACGCCCACCAUUUUGAACAAGGUGCUUAAAGUGAACACGUCUGGUUUUGUUAUGAGCACUUAUGAGUCCAAAAGGCCUCACAUUGAAUUGAUGCAAGAGAAAGGCUUUGACAAAUAACAGCAGUUUUGCUGUGUGGUCCAGUGCGCCCUUCGACUCGCAACCUUAAGAAAGCAGAACUCAAACUCGUCUCUAAGCAAUAUCAGCAAGGCCAGCAUGUCAUCUCAGCUUCUUGAGCUUCAGUGAACUUAACUAGCAAACAUGACAGACGUCAUUGAAGUGAAAGUCGAUGACAACCCCCUUCUUGCACAAAUACUACAAUUGCUUAAGAAAAUCAGCACGAAGACGUCUUCCGUCAGACUACCAAGCCUCCUAUCAAUAUCUCCUCCCAUGUUGGCUACAUCAACACUUCCAACAGCAGAGCCUUGGUGAGUUCGACUUCCGUCUCGGCAUCGAUGUCGCUUAGCAACAAUUGGAUGAUGGGCGUCGACAAAUUAGGCCGGACAAGUCGCUCGAACUGAAACGAUCUGAUCCAACAGGUAGAGCAAGCGUUGCGUGACACGUCCGUUAAUGUGACUGACCUCGAUAUGUUGUUCUCGGAUAAUGUGAACCUUAGGCCUGGAGAGCAGCAUGCGAUCGACACCAUUCAAGAACAGUUGUUCUUGGCAAUUCUCAGGUUUGGGGUGGCGACUUCAGCGUCAGGACUUGCUCCAUCUCUGUCUAUGGCCCAGUCGCAGCAGCAGCAGCAGCAGCAACAAGAACAAUAAAGCUAGUUCCUAGCAAUCAUAGAUCGGUACCCUGCUGAAAAACAGAAUCUCUGGUCAGCUGGUUCCAGAUGCCCAGCAACACUUCCAGGCCCAGGACCUUGGGGCAAAUGCUCAACAUGUCCUAUCUGCAUGAUUAAGCCAGUCUAAUUCUUGGGCUCCAAACUCUCCUGCUGUGGGGCCAAGAUUACCUCAUCCAUAAGAGGGCUUAUACUCACAAGUUCAGGCCCAGAGAGCGGUGUUCCCCAACUACAACACAACCAGUACGUCUCAAUAGAGAACACCCUUCCUGAAAACCUCGCUGAGUGCGACUGCGCCAUACGUGACCCUUCAGUGAAAUGAGAUUGCAGGCGGAAUGUCAAACCGGUACUACUCAGGUCUCCAGCAAUAGCCUCAGCCUUGGACGCAGGUUCAUGAUGCACCCAUGGCCUUACUUAUUUCUGAACAUCUCAAUCUCACAGCAAUUGAUGUGAAUUAAUGAUAAUAAGACUCCACAAACCACGUUUUUGAGAAGCGUAUCUUGUUCAGUGUCUGGCAGUACCAAGCCACGUCGACGCAGCAGCAAAAACAACAGUAGCAGUCUAGUGAAGGGUCACCCCGCAACUUUCAGUGCCUAGCAAUGAAAUCAUCCACCGUUACAUGUAGUUGGUCAGUAAAAUGAGCGUUUUAACUGCAUAUAAAGUAAAAAGAUAUUAUCAAACAACAUCUACAUUUCUCACGGGAUUAAAUUGAUACUUCAGUUGUUUGAUCCCCAUGAAGUCUUGGUUUGAUUGGUAGAUGGUCAUCUUGUGACAAAGCCCUAAAUUAUCAUUGGCCAAUUCACUUUUGCACAAGAUCAAAUUAAUAUCACUGUAUCUCACCACACAUGGGAAUUCAGAGGCUGUACAACUUAUAUUCUAUUCAGGGUUAAAGCCACACACCUUGAAUUGAAGUACUUGUUAAUCAAUACAUAUAGAUGCAAUUUGAAAGUGUGCAAAAUUGUCAUUAAAUCUAUAGCCUUCUUAGCAAGAAAUGUAUUCAAAAAAAAUUAAACCGAAAGUAUGAUUACUAUACGUUUACGUAUAUUUUGACAAACGCGAUUAUUUUUAAGUUUAAGCGCAAAAAAUAUGGAUUUUUACCUUGUAACCACCAGAUAUAUUAUAAUUGAGAUAGAUAAAAAUAAAUGUAUAGCCUAGAUAGCAAGUUCUUUUUUUUCAAACGUUUCUGCAUUUAAAACCGAAAGUAGGAUUUCUAGACGUAUACGUCCAUUUUGACAAACGCGAUUAUUUUUAAGUUUUGAAGCGCAAAAGAGACGGAUUUCUACCUUGUAACCACCAGAUAUAUUCUAAUUGGCAUAAAUCAAAUAUGGUUCUUAUUUAUACUUAAAUUUACUAUGUCAUGUAUUGCAUUUCAAGGUGCGUGGCUUUAAUAACUAACAUUGUGCCCACAGUUGUGUAAAGCUGUGUGAAGAUUUUUGUUUAAAAAAAAGAAUAAAGCAUUUGCGUAACUUGUAAUCAAUAGUGUUCAAUGAAGGAACAAUCAUUUUGAAAAUGACCAAUACUCCAGAAUUUAUUUGUCUUUUAACGGAUCUUGGUCAGUGUCUAGCAGUUUCCUUUCGACCAAGCCACGUCAGCAAAGCAGAAAUAACAGCAGCAGUCAAGUAAUUUGUCUUCCACGUUUGAGCUACCUAUUUGCCACGGUCUGUUGCAAAGUCCACUCAACAUGGAUUGUUUUAAUAAAACAAAUGGAGUUAAAGAAGAUUUUUGCUGAUUCCUGUGUAUGAUCUUAAUUGUAUAUGAAACAAUACAUGAACAACACUGAUGCAUAUGAAAGGUAGCUACUACAAGUAUUAAUGCACAAAUUAAAGAAUGAAUUUCUUUAUAAUUUUUAGUCAUUAUCUAAAAUUUGUUUCCAAACAUAUCUAAGCAUAUUGCUAUUGUUAUGCCGUAUAACAAAAUAAAACAAAGGGUUCAUUCAAAAUUUCUAGUUUUACUUUCAAAUUCAGUUUCAUUAUUAUUUUCAUUACAACAAAAUCAUAUAUCCAAAAAAUAUCAUAUACAAUCAAUAAUAAAAUAUUCGUACCUGCAUCUUAUUCUGUAUCAUAAUCUCUUUUUUGAUUAAAUAAUCUAUCUUAACCGGAUGUUUUUCGUUUAAAUCUGUAUUCCAAACUGAAACUUGUUUAUUUUCGAAUCAGCUAUUUAUACUUUUUCGGGCAUGACGUCAAUGACACGUGACGACCGUUAAAGUAAAAUAUAUACCAAUGAACGUAAUGUGAAAUGGCGGAUUUAUUGAAUGAAUGAGAAUCAAGUUUGAACAAUAAUAUUAUACAAAUACAAUGACAAAAACGUAAGUUAAGCCAUAUACAUCAAUGGAAAUCAAUAAAUAUGAUGUUUAUGAAUAUCAAUUUAUUUAGAUAAUAAGCAUUUUAAUUUGAUAAGGAGUGUUUGUUUACAUUUCACCAUGUAUUACGGAAUGGCCAAUGGGAGGAGUAACGGCCUAGCAAUAUAAUAUAUUGACUAUGCUUUGAUUUAUUGUUUGAUUAAAUCACUCUGCCA
Dreissena polymorpha is the source of this 6591-nucleotide long non-coding RNA. RefSeq lists it as uncharacterized. The transcript is spliced from 11 exons. NCBI's taxonomy places the organism in Eukaryota, Metazoa, Mollusca, Bivalvia, Myida, Dreissenidae. The record is from RefSeq and is a predicted model, not a curated record.